Molecule: small RNA, 282 nt
Filed under: Pongo abelii (Sumatran orangutan)
Lineage: Eukaryota; Metazoa; Chordata; Mammalia; Primates; Hominidae
Description: processed transcript
Source: RNAcentral
ACUUCAGCCAGAGCGCGGGGUUGGGGCUUCAUUGCCUUGUGUCCUCUGCUCCGGGAGGCUUCGGUGAUUCUGCCACUCCCUCCGUCGCUGUGUGACCUGCUGGCAUUGAAUGAUUUAUAGCUAAGACUCCAGGACACCCCUGAAGCCGAGAAAUGGAACUCUUAACAUUCAGGGAUGUGGCCAUAGAAUUCUCUCCAGAAGAGUGGAAAUGCCUGGACCCUGCCCAGCAGAAUUUAUAUAGAGAUGUGAUGUUGGAGAACUACAGAAACCUGGUCUCCCUGG